RNAcentral lists this ribosomal RNA (465 nucleotides) under Vreelandella stevensii. RNAcentral's name for it is "partial 16S ribosomal RNA". It matches the Rfam family "Bacterial small subunit ribosomal RNA", at positions 338 to 795 of the family's 1533-position model. Lineage: Bacteria; Pseudomonadati; Pseudomonadota; Gammaproteobacteria; Oceanospirillales; Halomonadaceae. The record is from RNAcentral.
CCUACGGGGGGCUGCAGUGGGGAAUAUUGGACAAUGGGGGGAACCCUGAUCCAGCCAUGCCGCGUGUGUGAAGAAGGCCCUCGGGUUGUAAAGCACUUUCAGUGAGGAAGAACGCCUGGUGGUUAAUACCCAUCAGGAAAGACAUCACUCACAGAAGAAGCACCGGCUAACUCCGUGCCAGCAGCCGCGGUAAUACGGAGGGUGCGAGCGUUAAUCGGAAUUACUGGGCGUAAAGCGCGCGUAGGUGGCUUGAUAAGCCGGUUGUGAAAGCCCCGGGCUCAACCUGGGAACGGCAUCCGGAACUGUCAAGCUAGAGUGCAGGAGAGGAAGGUAGAAUUCCCGGUGUAGCGGUGAAAUGCGUUGAGAUCGGGAGGAAUACCAGUGGCGAAGGCGGCCUUCUGGACUGACACUGACACUGAGGUGCGAAAGCGUGGGUAGCAAACAGGAUUAGAUACCCCUGUAGUC